CCUACGGGAGGCAGCAGUGGGGAAUAUUGCACAAUGGGGGGAACCCUGAUGCAGCGACGCCGCGUGGGUGAAGGAGUAUUUCGGUAUGUAAAGCCCUAUCAGCAGGGAAGCACAAUGACGGUACCUGACCAAGAAGCACCGGCUAAAUACGUGCCAGCAGCCGCGGUAAUACGGAUGGUGCAGGCUUUAUCCGGAUUUACUGGGGGUAACGGGAGCGCAGGCGGCGCGUUAAGCCUGGUGGGAAAGCCCGCGGCCCAACCGCGGGACUGCAUUGGGAACUGGCGCGCUGGAGGGCCGGAGGGGUAGGCGGAAUGCCUAGUGUAGCGGUGAAAUGCGUAGAGAUUAGGAGGAACACCGGUGGCGAAGGCGGCCUACUGGACGGUGACUGACGCUGAGGCUCGAAAGCGUGGGGAGCAAACAGGAUUAGAUACCCUAGUAGUC
RNAcentral lists this ribosomal RNA (441 nucleotides) under uncultured bacterium. RNAcentral's name for it is "partial 16S ribosomal RNA". It matches the Rfam family "Bacterial small subunit ribosomal RNA", at positions 338 to 795 of the family's 1533-position model. The record is from RNAcentral.